Molecule: ribosomal RNA, 238 nt
Filed under: uncultured bacterium
Lineage: Bacteria
Description: partial 16S ribosomal RNA
Rfam family: Bacterial small subunit ribosomal RNA
Source: RNAcentral
CGGCGGACGGGUGAGUAACGCGUGGGUAACCUGCCUCAUACAGGGGGAUAACAGCUGGAAAUGACUGCUAAUACCGCAUAAGACCACGGUACCGCAUGGUACAGUGGUAAAAACUCCGGUGGUAUGAGAUGGACCCGCGUCUGAUUAGGUAGUUGGUGGGGUAACGGCCUACCAAGCCGACGAUCAGUAGCCGACCUGAGAGGGUGACCGGCCACAUUGGGACUGAGACACGGCCCAG